This 253-nucleotide ribosomal RNA is filed under the name uncultured bacterium. RNAcentral describes it as "partial 16S ribosomal RNA". It matches the Rfam family "Bacterial small subunit ribosomal RNA", at positions 524 to 776 of the family's 1533-position model. The record is from RNAcentral.
UACGAAGGGGGCUAGCGUUGUUCGGAAUCACUGGGCGUAAAGGGCGCGUAGGCGGCCGAUCAAGUCGGGGGUGAAAGCCUGUGGCUCAACCACAGAAUUGCCUUCGAUACUGUUUGGCUUGAGACCGGAAGAGGUUAGUGGAACUGCGAGUGUAGAGGUGAAAUUCGUAGAUAUUCGCAAGAACACCAGUGGCGAAGGCGGCUGACUGGUCCGGUUCUGACGCUGAGGCGCGAAAGCGUGGGGAGCAAACGGG